This 2823-nucleotide long non-coding RNA is filed under the name Salvia miltiorrhiza (redroot sage). RNAcentral's name for it is "long non-coding RNA (SMIL_LNC008107)". The stretch from base 827 to 1021 matches the Rfam family "MIR159 microRNA precursor family". Lineage: Eukaryota; Viridiplantae; Streptophyta; Magnoliopsida; Lamiales; Lamiaceae. The record is from RNAcentral.
CGCUUUACGAGUUCAAGAACAGAAAAGUACAUAAUUCAUAUCCCAGCCUGAUGUAUAUCAACCUUUGGUGAUUCUAGCUAGACUAACCUGGCCAUCAUAAUCCACGACGAAUUCGAGAAGAAUGGUGGCCUUCCCACUCAUAAUAUGCUGCAACAGAACCUGUCGUAAAAUCUUCCUAAAAUAGACUUUAACAAUCAAGAUGAACACAGCAUGGUGGUGGAAACUCAUCAUCUUCUGAUGCAAAAACAAUGGUAGCCAGGCUAUACUGAGAAUAAAGUGCGUCUGUAAAAGAAAACCUAGGAACUUGUGAAAAGAAAACGGGUCGGGGAAGCGGGGAAAGUGCAAGCAAAAAGUGGAACUAAUAAAACCUGAAAAAGGAAACAAGAAACCCCACCACAAAGCACUCCACUUGCACCAGCUGAAUUUCUCAUCUAGCAUUAUUGAUACUCGGUGUGAAUUUGUUAAAUUUGGCAAAUAGUAACCUACAAUCUCGAUAUUAGUCAGUCAUAAAUCUAUGAUUUAUUGAUUUGAGGAAGCGAUUUAAUAGUUUCAAGGAUGAAAUCCCCAUUUUCUGAAGUAGAAUUAGCAUUAAUAUGAUCCAUUACCAAUGCAGAAAUGACCAGAGAGGUAAUCAAACAGAGAUAAUUCCGAUCACUUCACAGAAAUUUACAAGCAUGUUCUACACAAAAUAACGACGACAACAACAGUAAUAAUAAAAACAAAGACAUGGUUUGAAACUUGAUGGAUUAGUUUGAGCUUCAAUAAUUAAACACAAAAACUGAAACCAACCUGCCUUAAUUGAAACAAGGUGAUACCCAAUCGAAGGGAACAGCAAGAGGAGCUCCCUUCAGUCCAAGCAUAGACGGAGAGGGACGUGAAACUAUCUCCCGCCUCAUUCACUCAACCACAGUAGCAUAAGCUUCUUUCAUUCUACUGAGCGGUUGAAUGAAUGAGUCGGCAGCUAAUUCAACCCCAAAUCUCAGCCAUGAGUGGGCUGAAGGAAGCUCUUUUAGACCAUUCCUCAAUGCAACACAUUUUUUUCUCUCUCUCUCCCGCCCCCCCAUUUUUAAUAUCAGCCACCGGAGAAAUCAAAUAUACUCAAACUCAUCUCUAAUCCCAUGCUAUCCUGCUCUCACUAAACUUCCUAAUUUCUCAAACAAACAACACUCAAUUUCAAAUCUCAUUAAUUCCCUAGCAUAACACAGAAAAAAAUUACAAGUAAAAUUAAAACACUCUUUUUAGAUCAAUAUACUGAAAGUGUAAGACAAGAAUGAAGAUGAUUGAUACAAAUUAUGAAACAAGAAGUGUACCUUAUGACUUCGUACUGUGUGAAAUGAAUCUGAAUCUGAAUCCAAAUUCUGAAGAUCUUGAUCAACACACAUAACAGUACAUAUUAAUUAGCAGGAGAAAAAAAAAAUGAAAGAGAGAGAGAGAGAGAGAAACGAUUUUGUACAGUGGAUUUCGAAACGCCAACAAUUAUUACAUCUCAAAAUUAUUAUGAUAUUAAUAUCAACAAUAUUAUUGUAGCUGCCACUAAAACUAUAACAACUCUAACGGUAUCACAAAAAAACACUAUAAUAACUCUAACGGCCAAACAGAAACGUAGAAAAAGUAAAGAUAAUUUUGUAUACGAGUGAUGCAGCAGCAAACACUAAACACAAUCUCCACACAGGGUGUAUUUUAUGCUACAAUCAAUGAGGAUCUAGUGAAUUUCAAAGAUAUAAAUACUUGGUUAGUAUUCGAGGAAAUUUUAAGACCGAGAAAUGAUCAGAACAAGAAGCUUUAAAAUUCUUGUGUGCUUAAAUGAAGGCAUAGAAAAGAAACACAAAUUAGAGAGGGAAAAGGGAGAUAAUAAAUUUAUAAGUAUAUUAGUCAAAAUAGUGAAAAAUGUUGAAUAGGAUUACUGUGCACCCAUUAAAAUUGAGGGCUCUUAUUUGUAUAGACGUAAUGAAAUCCAGCAUGAAUCCAGCUUUUGUACCCAUCUAAGCUACUUUUGCACAAACCCUAGCUUUAAUGGUUGAUCUUGAUAAGGAGAUCAGAAAACCCAUCUGCCAUGAUGAAACCCACUAUCAAGAGCAGCAGAAAAAAGAAGGAAAAAAAUAUUUGGGAAAAAGUAAAAGUAAAAAUUGUCUAGAAAAGGCGUCACAUAAAAUAAUAUAUGAACGAAAAUGGAUUAUCCAAGGGCCAAAAAGAAGAACCUCCCACAAAUGAGCUAAUGACGUAGGAACAAAAAGGGAAUUUUCUUCUUUUAAAAUUAUGAACAGGAAAAAGGGAACUAAAAAGGUUAUCUCCAAGUAUUAUCAAACAACAAAGGGGGUUUUCAAACGCCUCUUGAAACCCUAAAUCCCCACAAAUGAGGUAGCUCCCAGGAUUGAAUUAGAAGAGAUUAAGGUAAAACAAUAUCGUUAUAGGAUAAGAGAUGUGAGGAUGGGAUGAAAAGCUUAAAAGAAAAUAGUGAGAGGUAGAGGAAAACAUACAUGGGGUUUGAUAAAAAAGGAAGAAUGGUGAGAAACCAUGGAGCAAGAUGAUGAGUCACUUUCGUCAUGAGAAUCAGAGAUGAGAAAGCGACUCAAAAACACACAAAUAUUUUUCAUUCAAUUAUGUUUGGGGUUGCAUUUAUAUAGAGAGGGGUGAUAGGUGAAAGUUCCCUUUAGUGCAGAAUGUGCAGUGAAAUUGUCUCAAAAAGGGAAAAUGGAGAAGAAACAGUAAAAAUUGAAUCUACCUGGACCGCACUCCUCCUCAGCUUUCUUUCAAGGACAAGGAAGAGAGAGUAAAUAGACAAAAACAUUUAACACGGUGGCGUGGGAAGUUUGACCAUUAAAU